GACAGAGGUGGCAAGCGUUGUUCGGAUUCAUUGGGUGUAAAGGGUUCGUAGGUGGCCCAGCAAGUCUGAUGUGAAAUCCCAUGGCUCAACCGUGGAACUGCAUUGGAAACUGCAGGGCUUGAGUACCGCAGAGGUGAAGGGAAUUCCCGGUGUAAGGGUGAAAUCUGUAGAUAUCGGGAGGAACACCAGUGGCGAAGGCGCUUCACUGGGCGGUUGCUGACACUGAGGAACGAAAGCAAGGGGAGCAAACAGG
This 253-nucleotide ribosomal RNA is filed under the name uncultured bacterium. RNAcentral describes it as "partial 16S ribosomal RNA". It matches the Rfam family "Bacterial small subunit ribosomal RNA", at positions 524 to 776 of the family's 1533-position model. The record is from RNAcentral.